GAAGAGGUAGCUGAGUGAUCGAAAGCGAACGAUUCAAAAUCGUUUGACGGGCAAUCGUCUAACCGUCUGAGGGUUCGAAUCCCAACCUCUCUG
This 93-nucleotide transfer RNA is filed under the name Prochlorococcaceae cyanobacterium ETNP7_MAG_30. RNAcentral describes it as "tRNA-Leu". It matches the Rfam family "tRNA". From Rfam's summary of the family: Transfer RNA (tRNA) molecules are approximately 80 nucleotides in length. Their secondary structure includes four short double-helical elements and three loops (D, anti-codon, and T loops). The record is from RNAcentral. Lineage: Bacteria; Bacillati; Cyanobacteriota; Cyanophyceae; Synechococcales; Prochlorococcaceae.